Molecule: long non-coding RNA, 3827 nt
Filed under: Prunus dulcis (almond)
Lineage: Eukaryota; Viridiplantae; Streptophyta; Magnoliopsida; Rosales; Rosaceae
Description: sRNA ncRNA
Source: RNAcentral
CCACAGAAAUAUCGUCCGCUUCGAACCAGCUUGGUUAGGCUAUUUGGGGGCAGCCAUGGGAUGCACGGAUUCGGUCUUCGGCAUUUGGGGCCGUCGAUUUCCAUUUGGGCUGGCGCCUUGCGAAUCUCACCGUUCGUUUGGUCUUCAUCGCAUCUCAUCUGUUCAUUCGUUGGUUCAACCAUCUUUCAUCCUCUGUCCAACGUUCGUCUGAGAGAUUUUCGAUCUGCUAGUUCUUCCAUUGCUGAUGGGUUUCUGAGCAUACUGUUGAAUCCUCGAUUCCUUGCCCAAAUUGAUUCCAUAGUUUUUAUUCUUUGAGUUUAGCAUUGAUGCUGCGUUUUUGGUGGUGUAGGGUUAUGAGAGAGAAUUUUCAAAUCUUUGAUGACAACGACAAUGCAGAGAUAGUUGUUUUGUGAUUUUGAUUGUUUAGAGGGUGACUUUUGCAUAGGUAACUCCAUUUCCUUUUAUUGUUAAAAUUUCUGCUUUUAGUGAAUUUAAGGGUGAGAUAUGCAAUUGCAAUUGUGCUUGGAAAAUUUAAACUUCAGAUAUGCAAUUGCUCAUAUUUGACUUUCUGAUAUUGCUACGUAUAGGGUGAUUUAAAUUUUUUCUCCUAAAUUUGAACUGUAUUGUUCUAUUGCUGAUAACCUCCAUUUGUGUCUUCUAUUGUCUCCAUUCCACAUUUCUUUUCUCUGUAGGAAGUAUUGAAGGAUGUGUCGAUUUGGGAGAGAAGAAUUAUAAGUGCAUUUACUGUGGUGCACUUUUUUGGUUAAAAGAAUCCAUUCAGCAGGUACAAGAACUUGACAGUGUGCAAGCCUGAACUAAUCUUUUGUCGUGUUUUUUGGCCGGUUGAUUGAUAUUUAGCAAAUGCAUAUAAAACACAAAUUUAAAAGUUCAUUUUUUUGCUUGGUCAUUAAAGCAAGAAGAAGCGUGUAAGCAAGCAACUGCCCAAAUAUAUUUCUCUCUCUCUCUCUCUCUCGAUUUUGCAAGGAUCUCCUAAAUACUUGGAGAAGACUGAGAAUUCCACAAAGCAUCGCAAUUCUAACGACACUUGGCUGCUCACUUUAAAGGUAACCCAAAACAAUUAAGAAAUUUGUUCUUCUUUUGCCAUAAAUCUUUGUGUUUCCUUUAGAGUUGUGCAGGAAAGCUACUGGUUGCUAAUUUUGUUUAGUCUUUUUUCUCAAGUUAUAAUAAAUAUCUUAACCAGUUUUUGGGUGUUUACUGAAGUUCAUGAUUGGUAAUUGAUAUUAAGUUCUGUUCAUAUCAGUUUAUGCUUUGUGUGUGUGUGUGUGUGUUGAGGAAAAGUUGGAAGCAUGAAAGCUACAUAUACAACAUGUGAUUUGCAAAUUAUUCUUAUUCAUUUUCUCAAUUAGUCUCAUGCAAUAAAAAGUAAAGUCAAAUUGUUGUUGAAUCACUGUUUUGAUUGGUCAUUGCAGAACAGUUUGUGGGUAUGGAAGUACUCUCAUACAGUUCUGCACCAUGCUAUGAUACUUUAUUAGUCUCAUGCAAUAAAAGGUAAAGUCAAAUUGUUGUUGAAUCCCUGUUUUGAUUGGUCAUUGUAGAACAGUUUGUGGGUAUGGAAGUACUCUCAUACAGUUCUGCACCAUGCUAUGAUACUUUUAAUUUAAGGUGGAAAUUGAUUGUGAAAAGCUCAAGUUCACAUCAAUUCAGUCUCCUAGGUUUUAGAAAAAACAGAGUUUUUGGUGCUAAAUUUGAUGUUAGAAAGAAGUUUUUGAGCUGUUACAAUUUAGAUCAGCCUUUCUUGAAGCAACUAAAUCACCAAGGAGGUUUUAGGUCAUUAGACACCGGUGAAAACUUCAAACAUGUUGGUCCAAUUUUAUCAAGUGGAAGCUCUGAUGGCUACGUAAUUAAAAGGGAAGAGAAUGAAAGUAUUUCAGAAAUAGGGGAACCAGUAACUAAAGUUUUGAUUCCUGGUCUACCAGAUGAAUCCAAAGGUGAAUCAGGUGCGCCAGUAAAUAGUUGCUUUUGGGAAUGGAAGCCCGAAUUCAGUGUGCAUUAUGAGAAAGCUGGAUGUGAAACCUUAGGCUCCCUUCCAGUGCUGUUUCUGCCUGGUUUUGGGGUUGGUUCCUUUCACUAUGAGAAGCAACUGAAGGAGUUGGGGCUUGAUUUUAGAGUACGGGCUAAGCAGCUGAAUGGAUGGUGUGUAUAUCUAUAUUUGGAUGGUAUGUACUUGGAUUCAUUGAAACAAUUGAGAUUGAGUGCUUAUAUCUUAGCAGCUGACUUUGAGCCUUAAAAUUUUCAGAUAUUUAUGAUGACCCAUUCUUGGGCCCAUUGCAAUAAUUGAGAUUUGAGUGCUUAGGUCUAAGCAGCUGAAUUUGAGUCAUUAAUUUUUCAGAUGUGUAUGAUUUUGAUUGUUCCGUCAGGUUUCUUUAUUAGUUAUUUUCCCCUAAUCACAAUUGUUUCACUUCCAGAAACUAAUGGCAUCAUUCGUUCAUUUUGCAAGAUUGGUGUAUACUAUGGUACUCCACAAGCGACAUUUGGAGGAAUUGCAUUAAAAUUCUUUGCCUCAGUUCGGCUUGAAAUAUGUUCUACAGGGAAGAUAAAGUCUGUAAGAACAAUAGCCAUUGUUUCUUAUUGCAUGACAGCUUUUUGAUGGAUGAGUAUAUUUAUCUCUUAGGUCAUCUAAUAAAGUUUGAUCUAUGUUGUUUGCUCAUAGAACGUACUUCUGUACUGAUUAGGUAAAUGGAGAGGAAGUAAUUGGAGUUCGGGUUCAUGUAAGAGUGCAAAAGAGCAAGGUAAUUUUGAAUGCAUCAAAAUGGAUUCUGUAUCUAUGAGGGUUGUACACCAUGUACAGAAAUAACAUUUCUAUUACUUUUGCCUUUAUGAUUACUUGAGCAGUAAUUGCACUUUCAAUAUAAAUUUCAUAACUGGUAUGAAGUAUGACAAGUUGUCUUGCCAAUUCUUAAAGGUUAUGUCUAAUUUCUCAAAGAUUUUUGUCCCAAUUCUACACUUUGCUAUAAGUGCAGCCUGUGACCAUGAAAACAAUUGUAACAAUCGACAAAUUGUUAAAUUCCCCUUUUGAUUUUUCUGAUAUUAUGAAACUGCUUCCAUCCUUUUUGAAGGCUAAUGAUUUUGUUAUGAUAUUUGCUUAUGCUUUUGGAAGAGAGACUUUUGUCGAUUGCAAUCUCCUGAUUCCCAGAUUUUGCCAAACCUUUAGUAAAACUUAAUGAUUGCAGUUAAUUAUAUCUCUUAUUUAAUGUGUUUCAUCCACUUUGUUAUGUUUCUAUUUUGAAAGAUGCUUAUCCUAUAUUUUUGUUGUUGUUGUGGAUUUUCAAUUUUUGUAAGAUGUUAACCGUGUACGAGAGAGUCAAGAAGAGGCGGUGAGUAGAAGGAGGUUCUUUGCAGGCUAGACAAGGUUGAAAAUGGUUUUUUUUUUUCUCUCCCUAUUUUCCUUCAAAACUUUUUGUUCACUUAUUCUCCUUGAAUUUUAUGUUCAAAGUAGUUAAAUUUUCGUCCAAAAUGUUUUAUUUGUGUUUCUUGAUUUGAAUGAAAGUUUGGUAUUUCAUCCUUCUUUUUGGGUUUCUUUCAUUUCAUACUGUCUUCGUAUUUUCCUUUUCCUUUUCCUUUUGGGUUUAUUAAAAUAUUGAUCAUAUUUUAAUAAACAUGACAAGCAACAUAUAAAACAUGUUAUUAGUCUUUAUUUUGUAACUUAAACUUGCUACAUAUUUUCACAACUUUGUAGACAUUUUAGACGAUUUUAAAACCGCAACAUCGUGCGGGGACCUUUGCUAGCGUUAACUAUAUUGAUUAGUUGUAAUUAGUUAAGAAGCUAGUUAGUAAGUUAGGUGCAAGAUCAUUUCGCUUACCGUGGC